UCUUCUCUCCCGUUUCUUGGCGCGAAAAACGAUUCGAGAUUUGGAAGAUCACGAAGAAUUUCGCGUUUCCGCUGCAUUCUUCGUUCCGCCCUUUUCAUUCCCAUCGUCCUUGCAGAGGAAUUCAACGAUCACAACCGUCAUCUGUAGAUUGAGGGAUAGAGGGAUGGCGUGGUCGAACCGCUAUUGUUAUUCUUCCCCUCGUUCAUUCCACAGCGAGAUCAGCGGCAGACAGAUCAAUGGCUUCAGAGUGCGGAAGAGGCCGCAUGUGCAGGGGGGAGAAUCGGAUUCUGCUGGUAGAGGUGAACGAUUGUUGGUAAUCGGGAACGAGCAUGUGCCCAGCCAGCCCCUUGGCCUAUCGUUUGCGCAGGAUUUUGUAUUAUGGGGAUGAAAACCACCACAAUUCGUGACAUAUCGCCCCCUUAAUCGUUUAAGACUUGGAGAAGCGGGCACCUCCUUGCUGUGGCCGAUCAAGAUGGAUUCAUUGGUUUGCAUGAUACCGUCCCCCUCCUUCAUCCCCCAUAACCAGUGAACAACCAGGAGGAUUCUGUGCUCAUGACAGGUUCAGGAGAUCAAACGAUAAGGGCAUGGGAUGUCGAGACAAGUCAACUUUUUGAUGUAAUGUGGGGCCAUUCUGGCAGCAUAAAGACGUUGUGCCCGCACCCACUGAAUCCUGAGAUGGAUGCAUUACACUUUGGGACAGACGUUGUAACUCAAUUUCGAGAAAAGCUCUGGGCAAACCCUGUUUGAUGCCAAAUUGCAGUGAUACACAAUGCGCAUCCUCCUAAAGACUACCACAUAAGGC
This is a long non-coding RNA of Nymphaea colorata (pocket water lily), 802 nucleotides long. RefSeq lists it as uncharacterized. The transcript is spliced from 7 exons. The record is from RefSeq and is a predicted model, not a curated record. Lineage: Eukaryota; Viridiplantae; Streptophyta; Magnoliopsida; Nymphaeales; Nymphaeaceae.